RNAcentral lists this ribosomal RNA (388 nucleotides) under uncultured bacterium. RNAcentral's name for it is "bacterial SSU rRNA". It matches the Rfam family "Bacterial small subunit ribosomal RNA", at positions 29 to 417 of the family's 1533-position model. The record is from RNAcentral.
AUUGAACGCUGGCGGCAUGCCUUACACAUGCAAGUCGAACGGCAGCACGGGAGCAAUCCUGGUGGCGAGUGGCGAACGGGUGAGUAAUACAUCGGAACGUGCCCAGUAGUGGGGGAUAACCCGGCGAAAGCCGGACUAAUACCGCAUACGACCUACGGGUGAAAGCGGGGGAGUCGCAAGACCUCGCGCUAUCGGAGCGGCCGAUGUCAGAUUAGGUUGUUGGUGGGGUAAAGGCCCACCAAGCCGACGAUCUGUAGCUGGUCUGAGAGGACGACCAGCCACACUGGGACUGAGACACGGCCCAGACUCCUACGGGAGGCAGCAGUGGGGAAUUUUGGACAAUGGGCGCAGGCCUGAUCCAGCCAUGCCGCGUGCGGGAAGAAGGCCU